Molecule: long non-coding RNA, 696 nt
Organism: Felis catus (domestic cat)
Lineage: Eukaryota; Metazoa; Chordata; Mammalia; Carnivora; Felidae
Exons: 4
Source: RefSeq, a predicted model, not a curated record
GGUAAACAAUGAAGGCAGAGUUCUGUAAGGAAGUUAGAGGAUCUAGUGGGGUGUCUUGAGUUCUUCCCUCCUCUGCAUUCUCCCACUGAAAUAGAUCAGAAGACAGCUUCUCAAGUCAGAUGUCUGUAUGGAAUGAAUCUUGAGAAACAAAUCCGAUUGGCUGAGACAAGACUCUGAAUCGCUUCAUCUUGGAUUAAAUGGACUCACCCUGGUCCGAUUAGCUGUAACCACAAGGGUAGAUCAUACAGUGCAAAUAGUGCUGUCUAUCAGUGACUGGACCUGCCAAGCCUCAGCCGCCAAAUGGGUGGCUGCGAGACCCACGUAAGGAGUGGAGGUUAGCUGUCACCGGCAUGCUUUGGAUUGGAUUUGGAUGAAGGAUUUGUUGGCACAGAUUCAUCCGUGUUCCCACGCCAGGAUCCCUUCAAGACCAAAUGCAAGGUCAAGAUGGUCUGUCGUCGGCAGAGCGGAUUUGGGAAAACAACUCAUAAUCUUGGCUUCAUAAUUCAGGGCUCUAACCCAGCACUCCUCAAACUUUAAUGUACACACAAGUCACCUGAGAUCUUGUUAAAAGGCAUCACAGAAAUAAAAGGAAUUGUAACUAUGGGUGGCAACAGAUGUUAACUAGACUUAUUGUGGUGAUCAUUUGGCAAUGUAUAUAUUGAGUCAUUAUGUUGUAUACCUGAAAGUAAUAUAAUA